Molecule: ribosomal RNA, 433 nt
Filed under: uncultured bacterium
Lineage: Bacteria
Description: partial 16S ribosomal RNA
Rfam family: Bacterial small subunit ribosomal RNA
Source: RNAcentral
AACGAACGCUGGCGGCAGGCCUAACACAUGCAAGUCGAGCGAGGACUUCGGUCCUAGCGGCGGACGGGGGAGUAACGCGUGGGAACGUGCCCGUUGCUUCGGAAUAGCCCUGGGAAACUGGGAGUAAUACCGGAUGAGCCACUUUGGGGAAAGAUUCAUCUGCGAAGGAUCGGCCCGCGUUGGAUUAGGUAGUUGGUGGGGUAAUGGCCUACCAAGCCGACGAUCCAUAGCUGGUUAGAGAGGAUGGUCAGCCACACUGGGACUGAGACACGGCCCAGACUACUACGGGAGGGAGGAGUGGGGGAUCUUAGACAAUGGGGGAGACCCUGAUCGAGCCAUGCCGCGUGAGCGAUGAAGGCCUUAGGGUUGUAAAGCUCUUUCAGCUGGGAAGAUAAUGACGGUACCAGCAGAAGAAGCACCGGCUAACUCCGUG